AGCAGGCGCGUAAAUUACCCAAUGUGAAAUUCCCGAGGUAGUGACGAGAAAUAUCCAUGUGUGGCGCUUCGCGUCAUACGAUGGGAAUGAGAGCAAUGUAAAACCCUCAUCGAGGAUCAACUGGAGGGCAAGUCUGGUGCCAGCAGCCGCGGUAAUUCCAGCUCCAGAAGCAUAUGCUAAAGUUGUUGCAGUUAAAAAGCUCGUAGUUGAAUUUCUGGUUUGGGCGACCGGGGCGUUUGUGCGAAUGCGCAAUUGUUUUCCCUGCGUCGCCUUGGCCAUCUUGCAGUGCUUUUUAAGUACUGCUCAUUCACUGUAAUCAAAGCAGAGUGUUCCAAGCAGGUCGUAUGACCGGUAUGUUUAUUAUGGGAUGACGAGAUAAGACUUGGGUGUUAUUUCGUUGGUUUGCACGCCUGAGUAAUGGUUAAUAGGAACAGUUGGGGGUAUUCGUAUUUAGGAGCUAGAGGUGAAAUUCUUGGAUUUCCGAAAGACGAACUAGAGCGAAGGCAUUUACCAAGCAUGUUUUCAUUAAUCAAGAACGAAAGUCUGGGGAUCG
Molecule: ribosomal RNA, 553 nt
Filed under: Aurantiochytrium mangrovei
Lineage: Eukaryota; Bigyra; Thraustochytrida; Thraustochytriidae
Description: bacterial SSU rRNA
Rfam family: Eukaryotic small subunit ribosomal RNA
Source: RNAcentral